This 99-nucleotide non-coding RNA is filed under the name Micromonospora eburnea. The record is from RNAcentral. Lineage: Bacteria; Bacillati; Actinomycetota; Actinomycetes; Micromonosporales; Micromonosporaceae.
GAGAGCCGGAUGCGUUGAGAAGCGCACGUCCGGUUCGGGAGGCGGUCAGGGAAACCCACCGGUGGGGACACCGGCAGGGCGUCCCUGGCCGACUUUCAC